RNAcentral lists this ribosomal RNA (816 nucleotides) under uncultured bacterium. RNAcentral describes it as "bacterial SSU rRNA". It matches the Rfam family "Bacterial small subunit ribosomal RNA", at positions 8 to 807 of the family's 1533-position model. The record is from RNAcentral.
AGAGUUUGAUCCUGGCUCAGGAUGAACGCUGGCGGCGUGCCUAAUACAUGCAAGUAGAACGCUGAAGCUUGGUGCUUGCACCGAGCGGAUGAGUUGCGAACGGGUGAGUAACGCGUAGGUAACCUGCCUCUUAGCGGGGGAUAACUACUGGAAACGAUAGCUAAUACCGCAUAACAGUAGAUAUCGCAUGAUAGCUGCUUGAAAGGUGCAAAUGCACCACUACCAGAUGGACCUGCGUUGUAUUAGCUAGUUGGUGAGGUAACGGCUCACCAAGGCAACGAUACAUAGCCGACCUGAGAGGGUGAUCGGCCACACUGGGACUGAGACACGGCCCAGACUCCUACGGGAGGCAGCAGUAGGGAAUCUUCGGCAAUGGGGGCAACCCUGACCGAGCAACGCCGCGUGAGUGAAGAAGGUUUUCGGAUCGUAAAGCUCUGUUGUAAGUCAAGAACGAGUGUGAGAGUGGAAAGUUCACACUGUGACGGUAGCUUACCAGAAAGGGACGGCUAACUACGUGCCAGCAGCCGCGGUAAUACGUAGGUCCCGAGCGUUGUCCGGAUUUAUUGGGCGUAAAGCGAGCGCAGGCGGUUUGAUAAGUCUGAAGUUAAAGGCUGUGGCUCAACCAUAGUUCGCUUUGGAAACUGUCAAACUUGAGUGCAGAAGGGGAGAGUGGAAUUCCAUGUGUAGCGGUGAAAUGCGUAGAUAUAUGGAGGAACACCGGUGGCGAAAGCGGCUCUCUGGUCUGUAACUGACGCUGAGGCUCGAAAGCGUGGGGAGCGAACAGGAUUAGAUACCCUGGUAGUCCACGCCGUAAAC